CCUUAAUCUGGGUGGGCACCAUCUUGUCAGCUGCCAGUGGGACCAGAAUAUAAAGCAGGCAGAGAAAUGUGAAAAGACUAGACUGGCUUAGCCUCUCAGCCUACAUCUUUUUUCCGUACUGGAUGCUUCCUGUCCUCAAAUAUAGGACUACAAGUUCCUCAGCUUUGUGACUCAGACUGGCUUCCUUGUUCCUCAGCUUGCAGAUGGCCUCUUGUGGAACCUUGUGAUCGUAUAUGAAUAAAUGAAGGACGUUGAGAUGGGGAGACUGCCCUUCUGGAAGGGCUCGAUGUAAUCACACAGGAUCUCCUAAGAGGAAGGAAGAGGUGUCAAAGACUGAGAAGGAGAAAUGAAGGCAGAGGCAGAGUUCGAAGUGAUGUGAUUGCUAAAGGUGAUACCUGGCCAAGGAAUGUGGGAAGCCUCUAGAAGCUUGAAAAGCAAAUCAUGGAAAUAAGAAAAUCAGAAUGGAUUAUUUCAAGCAUGAGAAACAUUUUACCAACAUUUACAUUUGCUAUAUCAACAGUUUCUAUUGGGUGGCACUUCUAGGAAUUUUGAUACUGACAGCAGCUUCGAACAUGACAAAGAUGUGACUGAGGUACCGGUACGUCCUGUGGAAUUACCGUCUGAGCUGGUGUUGCUAUCAAACCUGCAUUGCUUACCACGGUGAUAUCUCUCUUCUAAAAAAGAAAAGAGAGAGAGAAACAGAUGAAUUCCCCAGAAACUUCUUUUUAGCUGUAGACUAAUCACCUGCUUGAUCCCAAAAUGUGAGACGAGUUCCAUUUCCCAUCGCUUGUCCUGCUUCCCUCCAUUAAAAAUAGUAGGUAUUUGAGCUAACUUCUCUCAGCACAUCAUUUUCACAACUUCUCUGUAAAAUGGGAAUGAUUUCCCUGGUGACUUUGUAAAUUGUGUUUUAUUGUUUAUUUCUAUUUAUGUCAAAGAAAGAUAAUGUGAAAUUGUCAAAACUUGCUAAAUGUAAUAUACAAAUAAAUGUUGGUAAUUAACUA
Molecule: long non-coding RNA, 1001 nt
Filed under: Homo sapiens (human)
Lineage: Eukaryota; Metazoa; Chordata; Mammalia; Primates; Hominidae
Description: HSALNT0045159
Source: RNAcentral